This 253-nucleotide ribosomal RNA is filed under the name uncultured bacterium. RNAcentral describes it as "partial 16S ribosomal RNA". It matches the Rfam family "Bacterial small subunit ribosomal RNA", at positions 524 to 776 of the family's 1533-position model. The record is from RNAcentral.
GACAGAGGGGGCAAGCGUUGCUCGGAAUCACUGGGCGUAAAGGGCGCGUAGGCGGGAUGGCAAGUCGGUCGUGAAAUCCUUCGGCUCAACCGAAGAACGUCGGCCGAUACUGCCGUUCUUGAGGGAUGCAGAGGAGAUUGGAAUUCCCGGUGUAGCGGUGAAAUGCGUAGAUAUCUGGAGGAAUACCGGUGGCGAAGGCGGCAUCCUGGACCAUUACUGACGCUGAGGCGCGAAAGCUAGGGGAGCAAACGGG